AUCUAACUGACGAGUUUCAAUAAGGACGAAAUGCGCAUCCUAGAU
Molecule: non-coding RNA, 45 nt
Filed under: Schistosoma margrebowiei
Lineage: Eukaryota; Metazoa; Platyhelminthes; Trematoda; Strigeidida; Schistosomatidae
Source: RNAcentral